ACACCGAUAAGUUGAACGCAUAUUGCGCAUCGUGCGACACAGCUCGAUGUACA
This 53-nucleotide ribosomal RNA is filed under the name Anopheles messeae. RNAcentral's name for it is "partial 5.8S ribosomal RNA". Lineage: Eukaryota; Metazoa; Arthropoda; Insecta; Diptera; Culicidae. The record is from RNAcentral.